GUGAUAGCGUGCCAAGCACUGCAUUAGGGACUAGGGGUGGGGAUGAUGAAGGCAGGGGCUGCUCCUGUAGCUGAGAUCUGGGGUUGACCUUCGGAGUCAGUGUGAGGAGGUCAGAGUGCAGUGUGAGUGGAAGAAAGACCUUCAUUCUGGAGGAUGCUCUGCUUGGCCUGGAUGCUGCCCAUCAGAAGCCCCAGCAAGACUGUUUUCAGCAGGAAUUCCCCAGGUUUGAUGACAUCAUUCUGCUCGCUGUCCCAGUACUGAGUGUCCUCCAAGCCUCACUUUUCCCCCUGCGGUCCGGCAGAGAAUGGUGGCGUCACCCUAGAGCGAGGAUUUGCAGGAUUCCUCUGCUUGCUCUUCACAGUCCCUGAAGGAUUUUGUUAGUUCUCCAUUACUUUUGUUACCUGAGACCCAUCUUUUCAUCCUGUUCCUCCUCUUCCUUGACGACCUGGGAUGUUUCCACACUGAGACAAAGAGGAAGAGACACAUCUAAGCAAUUCUCUACAGAUAGUCUCACUCAUCUCUGUCCUGAGUUCUCCUUGUGACAAGUCCAAAAGCUUGGCCACAGUCCUGAGGCAAAAAGUUUCAUGGAAACUGGUCUCUUGGAGUCUUUGGCAUCCCAUAACAUGGAUGUGGUCCAGAUAUGUCCUUGCAAUAGUCGUGAAGGGUUUAGUGUGCUUUCUUUCAAUAUUGUUUUUAUUAUAAGUGCCUCCAAGGAAUGAUUUGACAAAUAGCUAAGUUAGAUUGAACAUUGCUUCCUGGCCUCUACCAGUGUUCCAAUAUCCUAGGAAAUUGUUGAGCUGACCUUGGGCUUUGAAUUUCGUAAGAAUGUUACUUAUUCAGACAAAAUGCCUCCAGUGUUGAAAGAGAGAUAGUGAAAGAAAUCAGGCAUUGCAGUUUACUGGUUAAGAGUAGAAAUCUCAGAACAAGUUCUACAAAAUAAACUUGGAAUUCUCACUACAGUCAGGUAUGGCAGACUACAUUACAUAUUAAAAGAAAGUUGGUGGGCUCCUCUGUUAAAUGGAGGUUCCCUAUGGAUACUUAGAAUAACAACCAAGUCACACCCAUAUGCAGGAAUUUACAAUGGUCUAGGAAAAAGGAGGGUUGUGGUUUAAGAAGGAACUAGAGUAAAUACUUAGAAUAACAGCCAAGUCACUUCCAUAUACAGAAAUUUACAAUGGCCUAGGGAGAAGGUGGAUUAUACGAUAGACUAGAAUUGGAACUAUAGCUAGGGCGUGAAACCCUUGCCCCUGGCUUCUAAGAAUAAGCUGACCUUAGGUAGGUAUGAUUUUUAUCUCAGUUGUAAACACUGCCUGGUUCUUGCUAGCUUUUAUGUAUACAUUCCUCUGUUUUGUGUCAUUAUGCAUCAGAUGACUUCAAUGUAUCUUGGCUGAUGUGUCACCUGACUUCCUUGUUUUCUUCUGUAAUAUAAGUCUAAUGCUUGCUUUGAGACAUUACAUUCAGAUUCAACACUC
RNAcentral lists this long non-coding RNA (1472 nucleotides) under Mus musculus (house mouse). Its description in RNAcentral is "Hectd2, opposite strand". Lineage: Eukaryota; Metazoa; Chordata; Mammalia; Rodentia; Muridae. The record is from RNAcentral.